Molecule: transfer RNA, 78 nt
Organism: Aspergillus calidoustus
Lineage: Eukaryota; Fungi; Ascomycota; Eurotiomycetes; Eurotiales; Aspergillaceae
Rfam family: tRNA
About the family: Transfer RNA (tRNA) molecules are approximately 80 nucleotides in length. Their secondary structure includes four short double-helical elements and three loops (D, anti-codon, and T loops). Further hydrogen bonds mediate the characteristic L-shaped molecular structure. tRNAs have two regions of fundamental functional importance: the anti-codon, which is responsible for specific mRNA codon recognition, and the 3' end, to which the tRNAs corresponding amino acid is attached (by aminoacyl-tRNA synthetases). tRNAs cope with the degeneracy of the genetic code in two manners: having more than one tRNA (with a specific anti-codon) for a particular amino acid; and 'wobble' base-pairing, i.e. permitting non-standard base-pairing at the 3rd anti-codon position.
Source: Rfam
UCCGAUAUGGUGUAACGGCUAACAUCAUCGCCUUUCAUGUGAACGCGAUAGCUCGGGGUUCGAUUCCCCGUAUCGGAG